CUGUGGUUGUGCGGUCCUCUUGCCCUAGUGACCCCGCAUGUUUUUCAUAUGAGACGUUGGUGGAUGUUAGGGCUAUUAUUUCUGUUUUUGUGGGAAUCACUGACGAUUUCCAUUGUCUUGCUAUUAAUGUCUUUGCCGCUAUCGUGAUAAGGUAGACUAGUUUUCGAGCGGGUUUCGUGAUAUUUUGUGGUGAUAGGUGUAAUAGGUAUAGUUCUAUGUUGGGUUGGAUCGAUACCCCUAUGCUGUUUGUAACUAUUUCUUCUACUGCUUCCCAUACUGGACGUAUGAGUGGACAAGUCCACCAGAUAUGUAAUGUGUCCCCUUUCGCUUUUAGGCAUCUCCAGCACUUGGCUUCGGAGUUGUUGUACAUUUUAUUUAAUUUGCUAGGGGUGAGGUGCCACCUAUAGAGUAGUUUUCUGGCUAUUUCUAGGUGAGAGGCGCAUCUUGUCGCGCUUUUGUGUGCUACAAAGAUUCUACCCCAUUCCUGGGUUGUUAGUUCCCUCCCAAUAUCUGUAUGCCAUUCUUUUUGAAAUCCCCAGAGGUGCGUUUGAGGCCCCCCAUUGAGUAUGUUAUAGCAUAGUGAUAUAGUUUUGUCUUGCUUUUUCCUUUCGAGGCAUUUAGUUUCAAAGUGAGUUAGUUUUGGUUCACCAGUCACUGGUUGAGUGGGUGUAUGUGCAGUCCGUAACUUGUGUUGAAGUUGUAUAUAUGAGAAUAGGGCCCUGUUUGGUAUAUUAUGGUGUGUUUGUAAUUCUUUGAAGCUCCUCAGGGAGCCGCCUUGAGUCAUUUGGUGAAGGUAGGUUAGGUCGUGUUCAGCCCAAAU
Molecule: non-coding RNA, 820 nt
Organism: Pelobates cultripes (western spadefoot toad)
Lineage: Eukaryota; Metazoa; Chordata; Amphibia; Anura; Pelobatidae
Source: the annotation of a GenBank genome assembly